This 1311-nucleotide ribosomal RNA is filed under the name Gammaproteobacteria bacterium. RNAcentral's name for it is "partial 23S ribosomal RNA". It matches the Rfam family "Bacterial large subunit ribosomal RNA", at positions 1643 to 2925 of the family's 2925-position model. The record is from RNAcentral. Lineage: Bacteria; Pseudomonadati; Pseudomonadota; Gammaproteobacteria.
CGUACCCCAAACCGACACAGGUGGGCGGGGAGAGAAUCCCAAGGCGCUUGAGAGAACUCUGGUGAAGGAACUCGGCAAAAUGACACCGUAACUUCGGGAGAAGGUGUGCCUCCGUCAGGUGACGGGCUUCGCGCCCCGAGCCGAGGGGGGUUGCAACAAAGAGGUGGCUGCGACUGUUUACUAAAAACACAGCACUCUGCAAACUCGCAAGAGGACGUAUAGGGUGUGACGCCUGCCCGGUGCCGGAAGGUUAAGUGACGGGGUUAGCCGUUUUCGAACGGCGACGCUCCCGACCGAAGCCCCGGUGAACGGCGGCCGUAACUAUAACGGUCCUAAGGUAGCGAAAUUCCUUGUCGGGUAAGUUCCGACCUGCACGAAUGGCGUAACGAUGGCCACACUGUCUCCACCAGAGACUCAGCGAAAUUGAACUCGCUGUGAAGAUGCAGCGUACCCGCGGUUAGACGGAGAGACCCCGUGAACCUUUACUACAACUUCACACUGGACUUUGAACAGGCAUGUGCAGGAUAGGUGGCAGGUUUUGAAGUGGAGACGCCAGUCUCCGCGGAGCCGUCCUUGAGAUACCACCCUUGUUUGUUUGGGGCCCUAACCGAGGCCCGUUAUCCGGGUCCGGGACCAUGUGUGGCGGGUAGUUUGACUGGGGCGGUCUCCUCCCAAAGAGUAACGGAGGAGCGCGAAGGUACUCUAAGCACGGUCGGAAAUCGUGCGGUUAGUGCAAAGGCACAAGAGUGCUUGACUGCGAGACAGACACGUCGAGCAGGAACGAAAGUUGGUCUUAGUGAUCCGGUGGUUCUGUAUGGAAGGGCCAUCGCUCAACGGAUAAAAGGUACUCCGGGGAUAACAGGCUGAUACCGCCCAAGAGUUCAUAUCGACGGCGGUGUUUGGCACCUCGAUGUCGGCUCAUCACAUCCUGGGGCUGUAGCCGGUCCCAAGGGUAUGGCUGUUCGCCAUUUAAAGUGGUACGCGAGCUGGGUUUAGAACGUCGUGAGACAGUUUGGUCCCUAUCUGCCGUGGGCGCCGGAGACUUGAGAGGAGCUGCUCCUAGUACGAGAGGACCGGAGUGGACGUACCUCUGGUGUUCCGGUUGUCACGCCAGUGGCACCGCCGGGUAGCUAUGUACGGACGGGAUAACCGCUGAAAGCAUCUAAGCGGGAAGCCCCCCUCAAGAUGAGGUCUCCCGGGGCGUUAAGCCCCCUGAAGGGCCGUUGAAGACGACAACGUGGAUAGGCCGGGUGUGGAAGCGCAGCAAUGCGUGAAGCUAACCGGUACUAAUUGCCCGUGCGGCUUGACCAU